RNAcentral lists this long non-coding RNA (210 nucleotides) under Phoenix dactylifera (date palm). RNAcentral describes it as "long non-coding RNA (PDAC_LNC011502)". The record is from RNAcentral. Lineage: Eukaryota; Viridiplantae; Streptophyta; Magnoliopsida; Arecales; Arecaceae.
CUAGACCAAGAAGUGAGUUUUGUCUCAAACCAACUCAUUUAGUGACUUCUUGUGCACGAUCCAGAAAAGCAAGUUACUGGCUUUAGCUGAUGUCUCGCUCAAGUUACAGAAGAUCUAUUUGUGAUCACCUAUUCUCUUACCAUUUGAAUGUCUACAAUAAUCUUCAUAAGCAACUAUUGCGAGACUUGACAAGCACAGGGUUUGAAGUGA